AAUAAAUGAAUCAAAUUUUGCGUGAAUAUAACACGACUUUCCAUGAGAUCAUGUUAGAUUAGCAUUAUGAUAUAACCGUGGCUCUCGAUCCUGACGUAAAAUAUGUUUAUUUAUUCAGAAAGCCAUGCGCUCUACCAGAAGGACAAUAGAUUACAGCAACGCACCUCACACAGAUAUCAUGAAUGAAUGACGUCAGUGCUGUCGCCCAUACCGGUCCCUGCCUCCCAUGAGCCCUUCACCUUUAACCCAUUAAAGAGAAGCAAACAGUCCCGGCCGUGUAAACGUGUAUUCUGGUGAAAAAGCAUCUCAAUGUCAAGAUAAAUGCGUGGACUGCUCUCUGCGGUUAAUCGGCCCAGUCAGUCCUUGCUUUCACCCAAGGGAAGCCCUGACAGAGCAUCAAUUAGCAUUCCACACAAGCCUAACCGCGGCCCCCCGAAGGACCCCCGCUGAUGUCAUCACACACAGCACUUGCUCCACACGAAAUCAAAGGAGCGAUUUACUUCCAUUACACGCCGUUCAGAGGUUUACAUUACUGGAAUACUUUUACGCUGGACGCUUUCCACCCCGGAAAUGGUGUGAAUUUAACACUUCAUAAAGAGCAAAUACAGUCACAUGAUGAUUGUGACUCCUGGUGGGUCGAGGCAGACAGAUGGGAAAUGACUGUUCCUGGAGCAGCUCGAGUGUGUUCCCGCUGUUCCUGUUGUGAAUCCAGCAUGCGCUGGUUUGGCAGUUGCUCGCAGUAUAGAGCACAUACAGCAGAUCAUGACCACCUGCCUCUAAAUUCCCGUUGUCCAAACAGUAGUGCAAUGGGAAAUGACAUCAUUGGAAACACCUGUACCCAACCGCCCAUAUGCCAGUCUCUUUUCUCUAUUUUUUUUAGGGUGGUGUGCCCUAUUUAGAUGUGAUGUGUCAAAUUUUCAACAACAAGCUAUUUGUCUGGCUUGACACAAACAUGAGUAUCUUCAAUUUAUUGAUGGCAAUUAGGGAUUCAGGAAUUGCUAGCUUUAAUUGCUUGUCGCUUUAUCACAGUGUCUGCCUAAGAGACAGGCAUUUAUUUAUAUGCCAUUUUUUUAAAUGUUAAAAGUAGGUCCAACCUCAUUAAAAAUUUAAUCAUAUCCAA
Misgurnus anguillicaudatus (oriental weatherfish) is the source of this 1120-nucleotide long non-coding RNA. RefSeq lists it as uncharacterized. Lineage: Eukaryota; Metazoa; Chordata; Actinopteri; Cypriniformes; Cobitidae. The record is from RefSeq and is a predicted model, not a curated record.